Molecule: ribosomal RNA, 468 nt
Filed under: uncultured bacterium
Lineage: Bacteria
Description: partial 16S ribosomal RNA
Rfam family: Bacterial small subunit ribosomal RNA
Source: RNAcentral
GACGAACGCUGGCGGCGUGCCUAACACAUGCAAGUCGAACGGAAACGCACCAGCUUGUUGGUGUACUCGAGGGGCGAACGGGGGAGUAACACGUGGGUGAUCUGCCCUGCACUUCCGGAUAAGCUAGGGAAACUGGGUCUAAUAUCGGAUAGGAUCGCACCUUGGUGUGUGUGGAGGAAAGGUUUUUCUGGUGUGGGAUGAGCUUGCGGCCUAUCGGUUUGGUGGUGGGGUAAUGGCCUACCAAGACUGCGACGAGUAGCCGGUCUGAGAGGGCGGACGGACGCACUGGGACUGAGAGGGAGCCCAGACUCCGAAUGGAGGGAGCAGUGGGGAAUAUUGCACCAAGGGGGAAACCCUGAUGCAGCGAGGCCGCGGGGGGGAUAAAGGCCUUUGGGUUGUAAACUCCUUUCGCUGGUAACGAAGCUUUUUGUGACGGUACCUGGAGAAGAAGCACCGGCUAACUACGUG